UACGGAGGGGGCAAGCGUUGUUCGGAAUUACUGGGCGUAAAGCGCGCGUAGGCGGCUGGGUAAGUCGGAUGUGAAAGCCCUCGGCUCAACCGAGGAACUGCGUCCGAUACUGCUCGGCUUGAGUCCGGUAGGGGGUAGCGGAAGUCCCGGUGUAGCGGUGGAAUGCGUAGAUAUCGGGAGGAAUACCGAUGGCGAAGGCGGCUACCUGGGCCGGAACUGACGCUGAGGCGCGAAAGCUAGGGGAGCAAACAGG
This 253-nucleotide ribosomal RNA is filed under the name uncultured bacterium. RNAcentral describes it as "partial 16S ribosomal RNA". It matches the Rfam family "Bacterial small subunit ribosomal RNA", at positions 524 to 776 of the family's 1533-position model. The record is from RNAcentral.